RNAcentral lists this ribosomal RNA (107 nucleotides) under Salmonella enterica. RNAcentral's name for it is "partial 16S ribosomal RNA". It matches the Rfam family "Bacterial small subunit ribosomal RNA", at positions 1 to 100 of the family's 1533-position model. The record is from RNAcentral. Lineage: Bacteria; Pseudomonadati; Pseudomonadota; Gammaproteobacteria; Enterobacterales; Enterobacteriaceae. RNAcentral also lists the same sequence under 4 other names.
UUAAAUUGAAGAGUUUGAUCAUGGCUCAGAUUGAACGCUGGCGGCAGGCCUAACACAUGCAAGUCGAACGGUAGCACAGAGAGCUUGCUCUCGGGUGACGAGUGGCG